RNAcentral lists this ribosomal RNA (466 nucleotides) under uncultured bacterium. Its description in RNAcentral is "bacterial SSU rRNA". It matches the Rfam family "Bacterial small subunit ribosomal RNA", at positions 26 to 507 of the family's 1533-position model. The record is from RNAcentral.
CGAGGACGAACGCUGGCGGCGUGCUUAACACAUGCAAGUCGAACGGUAAGGCCCUUCGGGGUACACGAGUGGCGAACGGGUGAGUAACACGUGGGUGAUCUGCCCUGCACUUCGGGAUAAGCCUGGGAAACUGGGUCUAAUACCGGAUAGGACUCCUGGCUUCAUGGUUGGGGGUGUAAAGCUUUUGCGGUGUGGGAUGGGCCCGCGGCCUAUCAGCUUGUUGGUGGGGUAAUGGCCUACCAAGGCGACGACGGGUAGCCGGCCUGAGAGGGUGACCGGCCACACUGGGACUGAGAUACGGCCCAGACUCCUACGGGAGGCAGCAGUGGGGAAUAUUGCACAAUGGGCGCAAGCCUGAUGCAGCGACGCCGCGUGAGGGAUGACGGCCUUCGGGUUGUAAACCUCUUUCAAUAGGGACGAAGCGCAAGUGACGGUACCUAUAGAAGAAGGACCGGCCAACUACGUG